RNAcentral lists this long non-coding RNA (322 nucleotides) under Sorghum bicolor (sorghum). RNAcentral describes it as "long non-coding RNA (SBIC_LNC017689)". Lineage: Eukaryota; Viridiplantae; Streptophyta; Magnoliopsida; Poales; Poaceae. The record is from RNAcentral.
GGGGCUGUAGCACAAGGAGAGGGAUGUUGUUUUCACAUGAAAGGGCAAGGAAAUUUAAGAUUCAUUUAUAUGAAUGAUUGAGAGACGAUAAAAGAUUGGCCUAAAUACUUUGUGGACACCAAAAUGAUUGAGAGCUCGAGAAAGAAACGGAAGGAAAGAGAAAGAGAAUAGGACGUGCUAGAUUUUUGUUGGAUGUUAGCAAAAGACUUGAUUGGAGUUUUGACUACCGAUUUGGUAUUUUAGGGAGAUGAAGAUGGGAUCAAACCCUAGGCGUAUUUUGGAAACAAAUAAAUUCAUUUUUCCAGCAUAAACAUUGUGCAAC